RNAcentral lists this ribosomal RNA (743 nucleotides) under uncultured bacterium. Its description in RNAcentral is "bacterial SSU rRNA". It matches the Rfam family "Bacterial small subunit ribosomal RNA", at positions 60 to 790 of the family's 1533-position model. The record is from RNAcentral.
AGUCGAGGGGAAACGACAUCGAAAGCUUGCUUUUGAUGGGCGUCGACCGGCGCACGGGUGAGUAACGCGUAUCCAACCUGCCCAUCACUUGGGGAUAACCUUGCGAAAGUAAGACUAAUACCCAAUGACGUCUCUAGAAGACAUCUGAAAGAGAUUAAAGAUUUAUCGGUGAUGGAUGGGGAUGCGUCUGAUUAGCUUGUUAGCGGGGUAACGGCCCACCAAGGCGACGAUCAGUAGGGGUUCUGAGAGGAAGGUCCCCCACAUUGGAACUGAGACACGGCCCAAACUCCUACGGGAGGCAGCAGUGAGGAAUAUUGGUCAAUGGACGAGAGUCUGAACCAGCCAAGUAGCGUGCAGGAUGACGGCCCUAUGGGUUGUAAACUGCUUUUAUAAGGGAAUAAAGUUAGUCUCGUGAGACUUUUUGCAUGUACCUUAUGAAUAAGGACCGGCUAAUUCCGUGCCAGCAGCCGCGGUAAUACGGAAGGUCCGGGCGUUAUCCGGAUUUAUUGGGUUUAAAGGGAGCGUAGGCCGGAGAUUAAGCGUGUUGUGAAAUGUAGACGCUCAACGUCUGCACUGCAGCGCGAACUGGUUUCCUUGAGUACGCACAAAGUGGGCGGAAUUCGUGGUGUAGCGGUGAAAUGCUUAGAUAUCACGAAGAACUCCGAUUGCGAAGGCAGCUCACUGGAGCGCAACUGACGCUGAAGCUCGAAAGUGCGGGUAUCGAACAGGAUUAGAUACCCUGG